This 845-nucleotide ribosomal RNA is filed under the name uncultured Chloroflexota bacterium. RNAcentral's name for it is "bacterial SSU rRNA". It matches the Rfam family "Bacterial small subunit ribosomal RNA", at positions 28 to 896 of the family's 1533-position model. The record is from RNAcentral. Lineage: Bacteria; Bacillati; Chloroflexota.
GAUAAACGCUGGCGGUGUGCUUUAUGCAUGCAAGUCGAACGAUCCUUCUUCGGAAGGAUAGUGGCAGACGGGUGAGUAACACGUAAGCAACCUGUCCUCAAGUAAGGAAUAACUCUGAGAAAUCGGAGCUAAUACCUCAUGUGAAUCAUCUCUGCAGGGAGAUGAUUUAAAGGCUUCGGCCGCUUAAGGAGGGGCUUGCGCACGAUUAGCUUGUUGGUGGGGUAACGGCCUACCAAGGCUGCGAUCGUUAGCUGGUUUGAGAGGACGACCAGCCACACUGGAACUGAGACACGGUCCAGACUCCUACGGGAGGCAGCAGCAAGGAAUAUUGGGCAAUGGGCGAAAGCCUGACCCAGCGACACCGCGUGGGGGAAGACGGCCUUCGGGUUGUAAACUCCUUUUAUCAGGGAAGAAUAAUGACGGUACCUGAUGAAUAAGCCCCGGCUAACUACGUGCCAGCAGCCGCGGUAAUACGUAGGGGGCAAGCGUUAUCCGGAUUUACUGGGCGUAAAGCGGGUGUAGGCGGCCUGUCAAGUCCGGUGUGAAAUCUCCCGGCUUAACUGGGAGGGUGCAUUGGAUACUGAUGGGCUAGAGUGCAGCAGAGGAAGGUGGAAUUCCCGGUGUAGUGGUGAAAUGCGUAGAUAUCGGGAAGAACACUAGUGGCGAAGGCGGCCUUCUGGGCUGUAACUGACGCUGAGACCCGAAGGCGUGGGUAGCAAACAGGAUUAGAUACCCUGGUAGUCCACGCAGUAAACGAUGGAUACUAGGUAUGGGGAGUAUCGACCCUCUCCGUGCCGAAGCUAACGCGUUAAGUAUCCCGCCUGAGGACUACGGUCGCAAGACUA